GCCUCCGUAGCUCAGUGGAUAGAGCGACAUCCUUCUAAGUUGGCGGUCGCCGGUUCGAAUCCGGCCGGAGGCA
This 73-nucleotide transfer RNA is filed under the name Bifidobacterium pullorum subsp. saeculare. RNAcentral's name for it is "tRNA-Arg". It matches the Rfam family "tRNA". Rfam says of the family: Transfer RNA (tRNA) molecules are approximately 80 nucleotides in length. Their secondary structure includes four short double-helical elements and three loops (D, anti-codon, and T loops). Lineage: Bacteria; Bacillati; Actinomycetota; Actinomycetes; Bifidobacteriales; Bifidobacteriaceae. RNAcentral also lists the same sequence under 2 other names. The record is from RNAcentral.